This 1798-nucleotide ribosomal RNA is filed under the name Staphylococcus epidermidis. RNAcentral describes it as "bacterial LSU rRNA". It matches the Rfam family "Bacterial large subunit ribosomal RNA", at positions 1122 to 2925 of the family's 2925-position model. The record is from RNAcentral. Lineage: Bacteria; Bacillati; Bacillota; Bacilli; Caryophanales; Staphylococcaceae.
AGAGACAGGUGCGUAAUAGCUCACUAGUCGAGUGACACUGCGCCGAAAAUGUACCGGGGCUAAACAUAUUACCGAAGCUGUGGAUUGUCCUUUGGACAAUGGUAGGAGAGCGUUCUAAGGGCGUCGAAGCAUGAUCGCAAGGACAUGUGGAGCGCUUAGAAGUGAGAAUGCCGGUGUGAGUAGCGAAAGACGGGUGAGAAUCCCGUCCACCGAUUGACUAAGGUUUCCAGAGGAAGGCUCGUCCGCUCUGGGUUAGUCGGGUCCUAAGCUGAGGCCGACAGGCGUAGGCGAUGGAUAACAGGUUGAUAUUCCUGUACCACCUAGUAUCGUUUUAAUCGAUGGGGGGACGCAGUAGGAUAGGCGAAGCGUGCUGUUGGAGUGCACGUCCAAGCAGUAAGGCUGAGUGUUAGGCAAAUCCGGCACUCAUAAGGCUGAGCUGUGAUGGGGAGAGGAAAUUGUUUCCUCGAGUCGUUGAUUUCACACUGCCGAGAAAAGCCUCUAGAUAGAUAACAGGUGCCCGUACCGCAAACCGACACAGGUAGUCAAGAUGAGAAUUCUAAGGUGAGCGAGCGAACUCUCGUUAAGGAACUCGGCAAAAUGACCCCGUAACUUCGGGAGAAGGGGUGCUCUUUAGGGUUCACGCCCAGAAGAGCCGCAGUGAAUAGGCCCAAGCGACUGUUUAUCAAAAACACAGGUCUCUGCUAAACCGUAAGGUGAUGUAUAGGGGCUGACGCCUGCCCGGUGCUGGAAGGUUAAGAGGAGUGGUUAGCUUCUGCGAAGCUACGAAUCGAAGCCCCAGUAAACGGCGGCCGUAACUAUAACGGUCCUAAGGUAGCGAAAUUCCUUGUCGGGUAAGUUCCGACCCGCACGAAAGGCGUAACGAUUUGGGCACUGUCUCAACGAGAGACUCGGUGAAAUCAUAGUACCUGUGAAGAUGCAGGUUACCCGCGACAGGACGGAAAGACCCCGUGGAGCUUUACUGUAGCCUGAUAUUGAAAUUCGGCACAGCUUGUACAGGAUAGGUAGGAGCCUUUGAAACGUGAGCGCUAGCUUACGUGGAGGCGUUGGUGGGAUACUACCCUAGCUGUGUUGGCUUUCUAACCCGCACCACUUAUCGUGGUGGGAGACAGUGUCAGGCGGGCAGUUUGACUGGGGCGGUCGCCUCCUAAAAGGUAACGGAGGCGCUCAAAGGUUCCCUCAGAAUGGUUGGAAAUCAUUCAUAGAGUGUAAAGGCAUAAGGGAGCUUGACUGCGAGACCUACAAGUCGAGCAGGGUCGAAAGACGGACUUAGUGAUCCGGUGGUUCCGCAUGGAAGGGCCAUCGCUCAACGGAUAAAAGCUACCCCGGGGAUAACAGGCUUAUCUCCCCCAAGAGUUCACAUCGACGGGGAGGUUUGGCACCUCGAUGUCGGCUCAUCGCAUCCUGGGGCUGUAGUCGGUCCCAAGGGUUGGGCUGUUCGCCCAUUAAAGCGGUACGCUAGCUGGGUUCAGAACGUCGUGAGACAGUUCGGUCCCUAUCCGUCGUGGGCGUAGGAAAUUUGAGAGGAGCUGUCCUUAGUACGAGAGGACCGGGAUGGACAUACCUCUGGUGUACCAGUUGUCGUGCCAACGGCAUAGCUGGGUAGCUAUGUAUGGACGGGAUAAGUGCUGAAAGCAUCUAAGCAUGAAGCCCCCCUCAAGAUGAGAUUUCCCAACUUCGGUUAUAAGAUCCCUCGAAGAUGACGAGGUUAAUAGGUUCGAGGUGGAAGCGUGGUGACACGUGGAGCUGACGAAUACUAAUCGAUCGAAGACUUAAUCAA